RNAcentral lists this ribosomal RNA (589 nucleotides) under Trichoderma asperellum. RNAcentral's name for it is "eukaryotic LSU rRNA". Lineage: Eukaryota; Fungi; Ascomycota; Sordariomycetes; Hypocreales; Hypocreaceae. The record is from RNAcentral.
UCUCCGCUUUGUCGGUGGAUCUUUGCGGGGUUUUCAUCUUUCCUACGGCCAUAGCAACUCGUGAACGUUAACAAAUUGUUUUCUCGGCGGGGGCACGCCCCGGGUGCCUCGCAGCCCCGGAAACAUUCCCCCCCCGGAGGAGGCAACCAAACUCUCUUUUGUAUUUCCCUCGCGGCCCCUUUUUUUUUCAGCUUUGACCAAAACGUUAUAACGGAUCGAAACUAUCGACGAAAGAUCUCUUUGGUCAGGGCAUCGAUGACGGAAGCAGGGAGGGGGCCAAUAAUCCGUCAAAAGCAGAAUUCAGUGAAUCCCUGAGAUCUUUCAAUUCGCCCAUUUUUUUUCGCCAGUAUUCUGGCGGGCUCAUCUCUGCCCGAGCGUCAUUUCAACCCUCGAACCCCUCCGGGGGAUCGGCGUUGGGGAUCGGGACCCCUCACACGGGCGCCGGCCCCUAAAUACAGUGGCGGUCUCGCCGCAGCCUCUCCUGCGCAGUAGUUUGCACAACUCGCACCGGGAGCGCGGCGCGUCCACGUCCGUAAAACACCCAACUUUCUGAAAUGUUGAGCCUCGGAUCAGGUAGGAAUACCCGCUG